GCAUGCCUGUUCGAGCGUCAUUUCAAACUCAAGCCCAGCUUGGUAUUGGACCCGGGUCUGGGGACCGGUCCGCAACCCGUCAGCGGUGUUAUUUCACUUUAGGCGUAGCAAGUUUUCGCUGAGAGUGUUUUAUAAUAGCUCGCUAAUAAAACCAUCACAAGUUUGACCUCGGAUCAGGUAGGGAUACCCGCUGAACUUAA
Molecule: unclassified non-coding RNA, 200 nt
Filed under: soil metagenome
Description: partial contains 5.8S ribosomal RNA, internal transcribed spacer 2, and large subunit ribosomal RNA
Source: RNAcentral